Picea glauca (white spruce) is the source of this 119-nucleotide non-coding RNA. The record is from Rfam. NCBI's taxonomy places the organism in Eukaryota, Viridiplantae, Streptophyta, Pinopsida, Pinales, Pinaceae.
AUUUUCACUAACACGAGCAUUAAUGCAUUGGAUCCCAUCGAAACUUCGCAGUUAAGCGCACUUGGGCUAGAGUAGUAUUGGGAUGGGUGACCUCUUGGGAAGUCCUAGUGUUGCACCCU